UGGGGAAUAUUGGACAAUGGGGGGAACCCUGAUCCAGCCAUGCCGCGUGUGUGAAGAAGGCCUUAUGGUUGUAAAGCACUUUAAGCGAGGAGGAGGGUACUGGUAUUAAUACUACCAGGUACUGGACGUUACUCGCAGAAUAAGCACCGGCUAACUCUGUGCCAGCAGCCGCGGUAAUACAGAGGGUGCGAGCGUUAAUCGGAUUUACUGGGCGUAAAGCGUGCGUAGGCGGCUAAUUGAGUCGGGUGUGAAAUCCCCGAGCUUAACUUGGGAAUUGCAUUCGAUACUGGUUAGCUAGAGUGUGGGAGAGGAUGGUAGAAUUCCAGGUGUAGCGGUGAAAUGCGUAGAGAUCUGGAGGAAUACCGAUGGCGAAGGCAGCCAUCUGGCCUAACACUGACGCUGAGGUACGAAAGCAUGGGGAGCAAACAGG
This 430-nucleotide ribosomal RNA is filed under the name Pseudomonadota bacterium. Its description in RNAcentral is "Proteobacteria bacterium partial 16S ribosomal RNA". It matches the Rfam family "Bacterial small subunit ribosomal RNA", at positions 355 to 776 of the family's 1533-position model. Lineage: Bacteria; Pseudomonadati; Pseudomonadota. The record is from RNAcentral.